GCCGUUGUAGCUCAGUGGUAGAGCACUCCCUUGGUAAGGGAGAGGUCGUGCGUUCAAUCCGCACCAACGGCACCA
RNAcentral lists this transfer RNA (75 nucleotides) under Burkholderiales bacterium. RNAcentral's name for it is "tRNA-Thr". It matches the Rfam family "tRNA". Rfam says of the family: Transfer RNA (tRNA) molecules are approximately 80 nucleotides in length. Their secondary structure includes four short double-helical elements and three loops (D, anti-codon, and T loops). Further hydrogen bonds mediate the characteristic L-shaped molecular structure. tRNAs have two regions of fundamental functional importance: the anti-codon, which is responsible for specific mRNA codon recognition, and the 3' end, to which the tRNAs corresponding amino acid is attached (by aminoacyl-tRNA synthetases). tRNAs cope with the degeneracy of the genetic code in two manners: having more than one tRNA (with a specific anti-codon) for a particular amino acid; and 'wobble' base-pairing, i.e. permitting non-standard base-pairing at the 3rd anti-codon position. RNAcentral also lists the same sequence under 2 other names. The record is from RNAcentral. Lineage: Bacteria; Pseudomonadati; Pseudomonadota; Betaproteobacteria; Burkholderiales.